This 827-nucleotide ribosomal RNA is filed under the name uncultured Clostridia bacterium. RNAcentral describes it as "bacterial SSU rRNA". It matches the Rfam family "Bacterial small subunit ribosomal RNA", at positions 56 to 877 of the family's 1533-position model. Lineage: Bacteria; Bacillati; Bacillota; Clostridia. The record is from RNAcentral.
UGCAAGUCGAGCGGAGACAAAUUGGCGGAAGUUUUCGGAUGGAAGUCGGUAUGUUUUAGCGGCGGACGGGUGAGUAACGCGUGAGCAACCUGUCCCAAACAGGGGGAUAAGAUACCGAAAGGUGUUCUAAUACCGCAUGAGACCACAGUACCACAUGGUAUAGGGGUCAAAGGAGCAAUCCGGUUUGGGGUGGGCUCGCGUCCGAUUAGGUAGUUGGUGAGGUAACGGCCCACCAAGCCGACGAUCGGUAGCCGACCUGAGAGGGUGAUCGGCCACAUUGGGACUGAGACACGGCCCAAACUCCUACGGGAGGCAGCAGUGGGGAAUAUUGGGCAAUGGGCGAAAGCCUGACCCAGCAACGCCGCGUGGAGGAAGAAGGUUUUCGGAUCGUAAACUCCUGUCCUCAGGGAAGAGAAGGAGACGGUACCUGAGGAGGAAGCCCUGGCUAACUACGUGCCAGCAGCCGCGGUAAUACGUAGGGGGCAAGCGUUGUCCGGAAUGAUUGGGCGUAAAGGGCGCGUAGGCGGCCCGGUAAGUCUGAAGUGAAAGUCCUGGCUUCAAGUUGGGAAUUGCUUUGGAUACUGUCGGGCUUGAGUGCAGGAGAGGUUAGUGGAAUUCCCAGUGUAGCGGUGAAAUGCGUAGAGAUUGGGAGGAACACCAGUGGCGAAGGCGACUAACUGGACUGUAACUGACGCUGAGGCGCGAAAGUGUGGGGAGCAAACAGGAUUAGAUACCCUGGUAGUCCACACUGUAAACGAUGAAUGCUAGGUGUAGGGGGUAUCGACCCCUUCUGUGCCGGAGUUAACACAAUAAGCAUUCCGCCUGGG